This 387-nucleotide RNase P RNA is filed under the name Mergibacter septicus. RNAcentral's name for it is "Bisgaard Taxon 40 RNase P RNA component class A". It matches the Rfam family "Bacterial RNase P class A". From Rfam's summary of the family: Ribonuclease P (RNase P) is a ubiquitous endoribonuclease, found in archaea, bacteria and eukarya as well as chloroplasts and mitochondria. Its best characterised activity is the generation of mature 5'-ends of tRNAs by cleaving the 5'-leader elements of precursor-tRNAs. The record is from RNAcentral. Lineage: Bacteria; Pseudomonadati; Pseudomonadota; Gammaproteobacteria; Pasteurellales; Pasteurellaceae.
CGAGUUGGUUAGGCAAUCGCUGGUUUAUUGAAGCCCUCAACCGUUGAAUUGAACGACCUAGGGGACAAGUAAACGAGAGGAAAGUCCGAGCUACAUAGGGCAGAGUGCCAGAUAACGUCUGGGAGGCGUGAGCCUACGACAAGUGCAACAGAGAGCAGACCGCCGAUGGCUAAUUAGCACAGGUAAGGGUGAAAGGGUGUGGUAAGAGCACACCGGGCGACUGGUAACAGUUCGUUGCAAGGUAAACUCCACUCGUAGCAAGACCAAAUAGGGAUCCUUGGUGUGGCCCGCAUCGGAUUCGGGUAGGUUGCUUGAGCGUGUGUGUGAAUACACGCCUAGAGGAAUGAUUGUCCAUGACAGAACUCGGCUUAUCGACCGACUCACUGA